CGCGUAGGCGGUUGAGCGCGUGUCCGGUGCCAGCCCGUUGCUUAACGACGGGAGUGCCGGGCAGACGGCUGAACUGGAGGGCCGCAGAGGGACAUCGAAUUCCGGGUGGAGUGGUGAAAUGCGUAGAGAUCCGGGAGGAAGACCAAGGGCGCAGGCAGUGUCCUGGGCGGCAGCUGACGCUGUGGCGCGAAAGCCAGGGGAGCGAACG
RNAcentral lists this ribosomal RNA (208 nucleotides) under uncultured bacterium. RNAcentral's name for it is "partial 16S ribosomal RNA". It matches the Rfam family "Bacterial small subunit ribosomal RNA", at positions 568 to 774 of the family's 1533-position model. The record is from RNAcentral.